UUCUGUUCUCUCUCUUUCUCUCUGCCGUUUUUCAAUUCAAGUGAUUUUGAGGCUUGAAAGUAUGUGAGUGAGUCAUAGGGAGUUUAAUAUCUUGAUGAAUCAAAGAAGAAGGUGAUGAUGUUGCUAUCGAUUGAGUUUUGGAAGAAGCAGAAAAGGGUAAGAUAAUUUAGGGUUUCGAAUUGAUUGAUUUCUUUUCUUGAAAUUGCUUUGUGUUGUUAGAUUAAAGAUGGGUUAUCUGUAACUCUUUAGAUAGAGACUGUAUGAGGUUUAAUUUUGAUUUCAUAGAAAAUUAGGGUUUAUGUUUUUCCCUAAAUCAACCAGAAAUUAGGAUUCAUGCGAAUUAGGUUGCUUGAUUCGGAAUCUACAGAUGAAGGAGAUGAUCGAGCUGCAGUUCAAGGGUAAUUGGUACUUAAAAACUUGGAUAUUGAUGUUGUUUGUUUGAAUUAAGUUGAACUGAGAUGCAGCGGUAGAUAAAUGGAAUUGAUGGAGAAAUUGUAAUUGUAAUUAGGUUGGUAUGGUUCCUGAAUUGGGAGAUUUCUGAUGAAGAAGAUGAAUUCAACAGGGGUAGUUGCAGUAGCAGUUGGGAGUAUGAGAUAGGAUUUGUAGUUAGAUGUGCAGAAUUAUAAGUAGUGGUGGGAACUGAUAGAUACAGUUGAUUGUGGAAUUGUAAAUGGUGGUUGUGUUAUUGUGGUAAGAGUUUUGUUUGGAGAGGAAGAUGGUGGUAUGAGCUGACUUUCAGUGAAGUGUGAUUAAAUAUUGUUGGUUGUAUGAACUGGUGCUGCAGUCUCAGAUGGAGCUAGUGUGCACAAGAAGCCGCAAUUGGUUGAUGCUAAGAGAUGGAGUAAGUUUACUGCUAUGCUAAGAAGAAACUGAAGAAGGGGUCUUGAGGUUAGAAGUUGCUUCCAAGAGAAUGGUGUUGCGAAGACAAAACUAGUGCAAGACCCAAGGAUUGGUUAUGGUGUUAAUGCAAUGAGUAGUGUAGUUGAGCUGCAGAUGAUACACAAUGAAGAACAUGAAGAAGUUGUUGGUGAUUAGUAUGCAGAAUGGCAGUUGUGUUUAGGUCUGGCUAUGGAUGUAUGAUUUGAUGAUAGAGAAUGCAAUAGAAAGCAACUGCAGAUACAAGUGGGCUAUGCCCAGUUUUUGAAGAUAUAAAUUGAUGUGAAGAAAAUGUUAUCUAGAGAUGGGGAUUACAGAUUUGUAACGAUUGAUGAAAGCAAGACCUUAGGGAGGGUAGCUGGUGGAGGUAUGAAGUAUGAAUGCUUAGGUUGCAGCCUAAGUUGAGGCUACAGAGGGAGCAAAGAUUGUGAAGUGUCCAAGGUAUGGAUAUGAUAUGGUUUAAGAUAGUGGCGAGCAACAAUAGUUGCGGGUAGAGUUGUAAUAGUUAGUUGAGCAGAAUUAUAGGAUUGUAGUGGUUUAUGAGCUAUAAGAUUAUGUAUUGGAAUUGGAAAUAGAGAUAGUGGAAUCAGUAUUUGAACUGAUCAAGGAGAGUUAGAAAUGCAUACGUUUAGUCUUGGCAUGUUUUGGUGUUACAACAUGAUUGUGCAUUAGAAGUUUGCAUAUGCAGAGGCUUAGCCUUAGACCUUUCAGUUCAGUUAGAUGUCUGGUUGUUUUACCCUAUCUGACUCAGUUAUUGACUGAGUUGAAUCUUUUGGACCGAUUUGACUCAGAGACCUGACCAGUUGACCUUGGUUUUGUUGACUUGGACUUGGACUUGGACUUUGACUUACGUUCACUGUUAGUUGACCCCUUUGACCGUCAGUGAUUGUUAGUUGACCCGUAUGGACUGGGCUUUAGAUUAAUGGGUCGUGCCAGUUCAGGCCUAAUGGGUUUGGGCUUAGUUUCAAGUGUUCUUAGUUUGAUGGUCCGAAUUGACCUUUAUGGUCCGAAUUGACCUUUGGUUGCCUCUCCAAAGUUGUGGAUGUUCAUAAGACAUAUCUAAUGAACUAUAAUCAACCUAAUUGGAUUAGUAAACCUUAGAUGUGUAAAGAUAGAUAACGAAAAGGUGUAGAAUCAUAAAUGGGCUUAGAACCAAUAGAUAGUUCACAUAGCCUAUAACUAGAGAAUUGUAUGAGAUUAUGUCAUGAACCUGGUAUGGUACCUAUCCUUUUGGAUAAACUCAUAGAUUUAUUGUGUGCUUAACAGUUAGUCUUUAUUAACAACGAUCAAUUCAAAGGUUGAACUAGUGGAUUGAGGAUCUCGAGGUAGGCGUGGCUUGUCAUCAAAUCAGGUACCAUUCGCUAUAACUGGAAAAAGAGGAAGAUUUUGAGAAAGUCAGGGACUCAAGAAGUGAAGCAAAUUGAAAUUGAAAAAGAUGUAAACAACCUCAAAAGAUUCAGUCUUCAUACAGACACAGAAGAACAAGAAAGCCAACAGAAAUUAGCACAACAAGGUGCUGAGGUUCUGUUGAUGGAACAAGGAGAAAUCUUAGGAAAAAAGGUAAGCCUAAACCUGUUUCAAUUCCAAAAUAACAUAGAUACUUACCGGAAUAGGAGGAAGUUUAGGAGGAAGUUUAGAUAUCCACAGGAUAAAUGUGUAAACACAGCUUUGCAAACUAUAUAUGGUGAUGUGAAAUUAUUAAGGGAUUGUAUGCAAUUUUCUAAUGAAGAUGUUCAAAUUGUUUUUGAUGA
Papaver somniferum (opium poppy) is the source of this 2627-nucleotide long non-coding RNA. RefSeq lists it as uncharacterized. The record is from RefSeq and is a predicted model, not a curated record. The transcript is spliced from 2 exons. Lineage: Eukaryota; Viridiplantae; Streptophyta; Magnoliopsida; Ranunculales; Papaveraceae.